UCAGAUAGGCCAACUUUCCAAACUAAUCUCUGAACGACCACAAGGUAGUUUGCCAAGUAAUAUCGAACCUAACCCAAGGGAACAACUCAACGCAAUUAAUAUUCAAGAUGACGAAGGAGUCGUUGAGCCUGAACCAAAACCGAGACACAAAACUGUGGUAAGCAAAGGUCAAGAUGAGGUAGAUUAUAAUAAAAACAAACCAGUGACUGUCGAAUAUAAACCUCGUGUGCC
RNAcentral lists this long non-coding RNA (231 nucleotides) under Gossypium barbadense (sea-island cotton). Its description in RNAcentral is "long non-coding RNA (GBAR_LNC004517)". Lineage: Eukaryota; Viridiplantae; Streptophyta; Magnoliopsida; Malvales; Malvaceae. The record is from RNAcentral.